This 251-nucleotide ribosomal RNA is filed under the name uncultured prokaryote. RNAcentral's name for it is "partial 16S rRNA". It matches the Rfam family "Bacterial small subunit ribosomal RNA", at positions 525 to 775 of the family's 1533-position model. The record is from RNAcentral.
ACGUAGGGUGCAAGCGUUAAUCGGAAUUACUGGGCGUAAAGCGUGCGCAGGCGGUUAUAUAAGAUAAAUGUGAAAUCCCCGGGCUCAACCUGGGAAGUGCAUUUAAGACUGUAUAACUCGAGUAUGGGAGAGGGUAGUGGAAUUUCCGGUGUAGCAGUGAAAUGCGUAGAGAUCCGGAGGAACACCAAUGGCGAAGGCAAUCCCCUGGCCCUAUACUGACACUCAUGCACGAAAGCGUGGGGAGCAAACAG